UUCCAGACUCCUACGGGAGGCAGCAGUGGGGAAUUUUGGACAAUGGGCGCAAGCCUGAUCCAGCUAUUCCGCGUGUGGGAUGACGGCCCUCGGGUUGUAAACCACUUUAGUAGAGAACGAAAAGGAGCUAUCGAAUAAAUAGCUCUGCUGACGGUACUCUAAGGAUAAGCACCGGCUAACUACGUGCCAGCAGCCGCGGUAAUACGUAGGGUGCGAGCGUUAUCCGGAUUUAUUGGGUUUAAAGGGUGCGCAGGCGGAAUGUCAAGUCAGCGGUAAAAUUUCGGGGCUCAACCCCGUCGUGCCGUUGAAACUGGCGUUCUUGAGUGAGCGAGAAGUAUGUGGAAUGCGUGGUGUAGCGGUGAAAUGCAUAGAUAUCACGCAGAACUCCGAUUGCGAAGGCAGCAUACCGGCGCUCAACUGACGCUCAUGCACGAAAGCGUGGGUAUCGAACAGGAUUAGAUACCCGUGUAC
This 471-nucleotide ribosomal RNA is filed under the name uncultured bacterium. RNAcentral describes it as "bacterial SSU rRNA". It matches the Rfam family "Bacterial small subunit ribosomal RNA", at positions 329 to 793 of the family's 1533-position model. The record is from RNAcentral.